RNAcentral lists this ribosomal RNA (572 nucleotides) under Pseudomonas sp. PsSRMH-OR-09-05. Its description in RNAcentral is "bacterial SSU rRNA". It matches the Rfam family "Bacterial small subunit ribosomal RNA", at positions 146 to 713 of the family's 1533-position model. Lineage: Bacteria; Pseudomonadati; Pseudomonadota; Gammaproteobacteria; Pseudomonadales; Pseudomonadaceae. The record is from RNAcentral.
ACGUUUCGAAAGGAACGCUAAUACCGCAUACGUCCUACGGGAGAAAGCAGGGGACCUUCGGGCCUUGCGCUAUCAGAUGAGCCUAGGUCGGAUUAGCUAGUUGGUGGGGUAAUGGCUCACCAAGGCGACGAUCCGUAACUGGUCUGAGAGGAUGAUCAGUCACACUGGAACUGAGACACGGUCCAGACUCCUACGGGAGGCAGCAGUGGGGAAUAUUGGACAAUGGGCGAAAGCCUGAUCCAGCCAUGCCGCGUGUGUGAAGAAGGUCUUCGGAUUGUAAAGCACUUUAAGUUGGGAGGAAGGGCAGUAAGUUAAUACCUUGCUGUUUUGACGUUACCGACAGAAUAAGCACCGGCUAACUCUGUGCCAGCAGCCGCGGUAAUACAGAGGGUGCAAGCGUUAAUCGGAAUUACUGGGCGUAAAGCGCGCGUAGGUGGUUCGUUAAGUUGGAUGUGAAAGCCCCGGGCUCAACCUGGGAACUGCAUCCAAAACUGGCGAGCUAGAGUACGGUAGAGGGUGGUGGAAUUUCCUGUGUAGCGGUGAAAUGCGUAGAUAUAGGAAGGAACACCAGU